GACGGGGGGGGCAAGUGUUCUUCGGAAUGACUGGGCGUAAAGGGCACGUAGACGGUGAAUCGGGUUGAAAGUGAAAGUCGCCAAAAAGUGGCGGAAUGCUCUCGAAACCAAUUCACUUGAGUGAGACAGAGGAGAGUGGAAUUUCGUGUGUAGGGGUGAAAUCCGUAGAUCUACGAAGGAACGCCAAAAGCGAAGGCAGCUCUCUGGGUCCCUACCGACGCUGGG
This 225-nucleotide ribosomal RNA is filed under the name uncultured bacterium. RNAcentral's name for it is "partial 16S ribosomal RNA". It matches the Rfam family "Bacterial small subunit ribosomal RNA", at positions 524 to 750 of the family's 1533-position model. The record is from RNAcentral.